GACGAACGCUGGCGGCGUGCCUAACACAUGCAAGUCGAACGGAGCUAAUUAGAGGAAGUUUUCGGAUGGAAUUUGGUUAGCUUAGUGGCGGACGGGUGAGUAACGCGUGAGCAACCUGCCUUUCAGAGGGGGAUAACGUCUUGAAAAGGACGCUAAUACCGCAUAACAUUAACUUCCCGCAUGGGGGGAUAAUCAAAGGAGCAAUCCGCUGAAAGAUGGGCUCGCGUCCGAUUAGCCAGUUGGCGGGGUAGAGGCCCACCAAAGCGACGAUCGGUAGCCGGACUGAGAGGUUGAACGGCCACAUUGGGACUGAGACACGGCCCAGACUCCUACGGGAGGCAGCAGUGGGGGAUAUUGCACAAUGGGGGAAACCCUGAUGCAGCAACGCCGCGUGUGGGAAGAC
Molecule: ribosomal RNA, 403 nt
Filed under: uncultured bacterium
Lineage: Bacteria
Description: bacterial SSU rRNA
Rfam family: Bacterial small subunit ribosomal RNA
Source: RNAcentral